This 246-nucleotide long non-coding RNA is filed under the name Elaeis guineensis (African oil palm). Its description in RNAcentral is "long non-coding RNA (EGUI_LNC071657)". Lineage: Eukaryota; Viridiplantae; Streptophyta; Magnoliopsida; Arecales; Arecaceae. The record is from RNAcentral.
CUCUCUAUCCAAGUGUUGGACAUGAUUUUCUCUCUUCCUUCUCCUCCAUAGAUGUUCAAGAGUUGGAUAUGAUUUCUCCUUCAUGAUCAGUCCAAGAGUUGGAUAAAAAAAAAAGAAAAGAAAAGAGAUGGGAUCUCUUAUUCUUCUUUUCUAUAAAUCUUUUUCUUUCUCUUUAGAAGAGAAAAAAAAAAUCAAAUUAGAUCUGAUUUCUUGAUCCUCCUAUAGAUCUCUUUGAUUUUUUUGAGA